RNAcentral lists this ribosomal RNA (253 nucleotides) under uncultured bacterium. Its description in RNAcentral is "partial 16S ribosomal RNA". It matches the Rfam family "Bacterial small subunit ribosomal RNA", at positions 524 to 776 of the family's 1533-position model. The record is from RNAcentral.
UACGUAGGGCGCAAGCGUUGUCCGGAAUUAUUGGGCGUAAAGAGCUCGUAGGCGGCCAGUUGCGUCUGCUGUGAAAUCCCGGGGCUCAACCCCGGGCGUGCAGUGGAUACGGGCUGGCUGGAGGCAGGCAGGGGAGAACGGAAUUCCUGGUGUAGCGGUGAAAUGCGCAGAUAUCAGGAGGAACACCGGUGGCGAAGGCGGUUCUCUGGGCCUGUACUGACGCUGAGGAGCGAAAGCGUGGGGAGCGAACAGG